UAGUCCCUAAUAAAAUAUCUAAAAAGACUUAUAUUUAGAAACGGAGGGAGUGUACUACAAGAUGUUGAGAUUUGGGAUGAGAUUAAGAGCAAAGGAAGUUAAACCACGAAGCAUAACCCUUAUUGCAUCUGUUGCAUCCAGAACCGAUAUUCCGUGAGACAUUACAAGUUUCGUGAAGAUGAUGUACUAUAAACAUAAUACGUGUCCAACAUGCCAGAUCACGUCAAACUUUGAAAAUUUGUAGGAUCAUAAAUGCCCAUAUAUGUAAAAUUAACUGGACGAUCUCGCAAGAAGAAGAAGAACGCUCCUUAUAUAUAUUUACUUAUUAUAAACCGACUAUACGAACACAAGCAUAUAGUAAUUGGGUGCAUGCGUUCUUACCUUAACAUCGUGCAUGCCGUCCGUAGCUGGAAGCUUCCCCUUCCUCUCCGUCAUCCCCAUCGCCAUCGUCGACGGCUGGCUCUUCAGCAUCGGGCCGUCCCCGGCAUUGUCCUCGCCACUGACGAUCGGGUAGAGCCACGCUGCCAUCAUGUCCUCGGAAGGUGGCAGCGCAGCAGCGGACGCUUGCGGUGGCUCUAGCGCGGCUCCUUCCCAUGCCAACCCGAGUAGACCUUCACUGCAAGAACGCACAUACACGUGCAUAUCAUUUGAAUCAUGCAUUGACUAGCUAGGGAAACAGCCAAAUCAAACUACAUGCAUGGAGCUGUCAACGAACAUGUCGAGGAACUCGUCGUCGCCGGCGGCGGCGGCUGCAAACGGCGUGGCCUCGCCGGGGCAGUCGUCGGGGUACCACCAAGGAUCUGUAGCUGGAUCGUCCGUCCAUCGCUCAGCCCAAGGUUGGAAGAACCUAGGGAUGUACGUGGUC
Molecule: long non-coding RNA, 865 nt
Filed under: Hordeum vulgare
Lineage: Eukaryota; Viridiplantae; Streptophyta; Magnoliopsida; Poales; Poaceae
Description: long non-coding RNA (HVUL_LNC011140)
Source: RNAcentral